GGCUCGUGCGGCAGCGACUCCUGGGAAGUGUCGUGCAGAGCCGUAAAAGCGGCGUGAUGGCCGGGGUGGGGGGGCGUUCGGCCCGUGGGGCAGGGACUUCUGGGAAGUGCCGCGCAGAGCCGUAAAAGCAGCUGGUGAAGGAGAGAGACUCUAGGCUCGUGAGGCAGGGGCAGGGAAACGCGCGGUUUAAGAGCUGCUGGAUCCACAAGCUUCAUUCUGACGGCGCUUCUCCACGCUGGUAGGGGCGGUUCUUCCUGAAAGCAGCAGCCAAGCCCAGUCUGCGGCGUCCCCAGCACGGGCAGAACCAGCUUUUAAGUGGCAGCUGCGGGUCUCCAAAUCCCACCCUAGAACCUCACAGCAUGCGCGCUGUUCAUGAACACUACGGACGGUUUUAUACGGAAAUGUCCACUGUAGGAACGACUGGGAAGUACACAGAACAGCGCUCUGGCUCAGUUCCUGGCAGGGAUUAGGUCAUCCCGCAUUUGACUUGGCCUCGCUGGCCUUCACCAGCGGACAGCAUUCUGAUCGGAGCACUUGUGUAGGUAAAAAUGGACUCUGAACAACAUUAAGACACAGCCUUUGGGGGAAGAUACUACAUCACUGAACUGAUCCUUCCUCGAUCCCAGGAAGCACUGAGUGUAGCACGUACAACAGAAACACUGUACGAACAAGAACAUUCUCCAAAUUUAAGUUCAGAUUUUGCUACCAUCAGACAUAAAGGUUAUAAAAUUAGACUUAUCACCAAAUUACCUGCAGGGCAGCGUUGUCAGAACUCAGUUCCGGUUCCAACUCCGUCAGUUCCACGUGGAACAUGUAGAAUAUGAAACCAUACAGCGCCGGGCCCAGGCCGUUACACAGCCCUCUUAUUCCAGUUAUGAUCCCCUGGGCAACGCCUGCGUCAGAACGAAGAGAAGGGAGCCAGUCUUCUCAUAAGAGUAUCUCACGAUUAGGGACUUCGCCCAUCAUCGUUUCAUUUGGUGCACAAAUGUGUUACUGGUUUUACUAUGUCCUCUAAUGUCCUAACUCUCUGCCCUAAGAUCUAUAUGGAGAUGAAAUGACUGUGAUGUUUGUGAAAUCUCUUUUGGGGCUGAAUUCCCCCCAUAACAGCUAGAUCCUUCCUAUAAAUGCGGAAUAAUAAAUAAAAAAAAACUUUAAUAUUCUCCAUUUAUAGGCAAUUUCCACUUUUCUGUAGAAUGAGAUUUUUCCUCCUUUACUCAUCUAACAGUCCUUUUACAGCAAAAAUCUGCCCUUCGUCUCCUGGAGCCCUGUGUGUGAGUCCACAGCAGUCCUAAAGUUGUGUACUCCCAGCACGUUCACACAGACUCUGCUGCUCACGGUGACCUGCACUGAAAAAUCCCAGAAGUGCCAACUUCUAGAUUAUCUCUGGUUUCUAAUGUAGCAGAUAAAAUAGUAGCUAGAAUCAUGAAAAUGGAUGUUUCCGUAAGUCAAACUGUUCAAAUAUGAUUCAACUUAGUAUGUUCCAGUAAUGUUGUACACGGACAUUUAGGAACAUCUGCAUUAAAACAUAUACGCAUAAUAACAGCCAAAGAGAAUUCCUGUCAUGAAAGACCAGAUGGUGCCUGUCACACGUGACGGCAGUGCCCAUCCUCCCCAGCGGGCUGGCUUCUGCUGACGUAACACGCCCCAAGGACACAGCCAAGGGAGUUCGCAAAGGGUGUCACAUAGAUUCUAUAGUCUUCAAGUGACACUUUAAACAUGGGUACGAGUAAGAUGGCUAAUUUUUGAUGUGGAAAAGUAGUGCAAUGAAUUAAUCUGUCAAUCUAGUUCUUUAUUAAAACUUUUUAAAGGGCUCUAAUGCAUUUAAAAGGUUUUCCUUAUAAAAUUUACUACUUCCUGACUACUUAGGUGAACCAUUAACAACAGAUGGAGAAGGAAAGGAUUAAUUCUGGCAGCAGGAACUGCCUGAUAGAAGCCAGAGGUUCUAGAAGGAUGAAGAGUCCAGAUGGUAGAGUGCUAUUCUCCACAUGGUUGUCUCCAUUUUAAUUGUGCUUCUCACUGUGCAUUUAACAGUAAGUACACCUAUUUACCCCCUCAAAAAAUCAUUUCCUAAUUUAAGCUAAUGAACUUUGAUUUUGAAUUUAAAGAAAUGUUGGUGAUUAUGGUGAUUAAAUAAAGAACUCCUUGCUUUACUGUC
Lutra lutra (Eurasian river otter) is the source of this 2155-nucleotide long non-coding RNA. RefSeq lists it as uncharacterized. The record is from RefSeq and is a predicted model, not a curated record. The transcript has 3 exons. NCBI's taxonomy places the organism in Eukaryota, Metazoa, Chordata, Mammalia, Carnivora, Mustelidae.